GGAGGAUCCGAGCGUUAUCCGGAUUUAUUGGGUUUAAAGGGAGCGCAGACGGGUCGUUAAGUCAGCUGUGAAAGUUUGGGGCUCAACCUUAAAAUUGCAGUUGAUACUGGCGUCCUUGAGUGCGGUUGAGGUGUGCGGAAUUCGUGGUGUAGCGGUGAAAUGCUUAGAUAUCACGAAGAACUCCGAUUGCGAAGGCAGCACACUAAGCCGUAACUGACAUUCAUGCUCGAAAGUGUGGGUAUCAAACAGGAUUAGAUACCCUGGUAGUCCACACGGUAAACGAUGGAUACUCGCUGUUUGCGAUAUACAGUAAGCGGCCAAGCGAAAGCAUUAAGUAUUCCACCUGGGGAGU
This 352-nucleotide ribosomal RNA is filed under the name uncultured bacterium. RNAcentral's name for it is "bacterial SSU rRNA". It matches the Rfam family "Bacterial small subunit ribosomal RNA", at positions 527 to 881 of the family's 1533-position model. The record is from RNAcentral.